This 426-nucleotide ribosomal RNA is filed under the name uncultured Megasphaera sp. RNAcentral describes it as "bacterial SSU rRNA". It matches the Rfam family "Bacterial small subunit ribosomal RNA", at positions 356 to 774 of the family's 1533-position model. Lineage: Bacteria; Bacillati; Bacillota; Negativicutes; Veillonellales; Veillonellaceae. The record is from RNAcentral.
GGGGAAUCUUCCGCAAUGGACGAAAGUCUGACGGAGCAACGCCGCGUGAGUGAAGACGGCCUUCGGGUUGUAAAGCUCUGUUAUACGGGACGAACGGGCAGGAUGCUAAUACCAUCCUGUUGUGACGGUACCGUAAGAGAAAGCCACGGCUAACUACGUGCCAGCAGCCGCGGUAAUACGUAGGUGGCAAGCGUUGUCCGGAAUUAUUGGGCGUAAAGGGUGCGCAGGCGGUCUCUUAAGUCUGUCUUAAAAGUGCGGGGCUCAACCCCGUGAGGGGACGGAAACUGGGAGACUGGAGUAUCGGAGAGGAAAGCAGAAUUCCUAGUGUAGCGGUGAAAUGCGUAGAUAUUAGGAGGAAUACCAGUGGCGAAAGCGGCUUUCUGGACGACAACUGACGCUGAGGCACGAAAGCCAGGGGAGCGAACG